Molecule: ribosomal RNA, 462 nt
Filed under: uncultured bacterium
Lineage: Bacteria
Description: partial 16S ribosomal RNA
Rfam family: Bacterial small subunit ribosomal RNA
Source: RNAcentral
GACGAACGCUGGCGGCGUGCUUAACACAUGCAAGUCGAACGGAAAGGCCCUUCGCGGUCCUCGAGUGGCGAACGGGGGAGGAACACGUGGGUUAUCUGUCCUGCACUUUUGGAUAAGCCUGGGCAACUGGGUCUAAUACCGAAAAUGGUCUUCAGCCUCAUGGUCGGAGGAGGUAGGCUUUGACGGUGUGGGAUGGGCCCGCGGGUGAUCAGCUUGAUGGCGGGGUAGUGGGUUGCCAAGGCGACGGCGGGUAGCCGGCCUGAGAGGGUGACCGGCCACACGGGGACUGAGAUACGGCCCGGACUCGUACGGGAGGCAGCAGUGGGGAAGAUUGCGCAAUGGGCGCAAGCCUGAUGCAGGGACGCCGCGGGAGGGAUGAAGGCUUUCGGGUUGUAGACCUCUUUCAGCAGAGACGAAGCGAUAGUGACGGUAUGUGCAGAAGAAGGACCGGCUAACUACGUG